Molecule: ribosomal RNA, 525 nt
Filed under: Streptomyces canus
Lineage: Bacteria; Bacillati; Actinomycetota; Actinomycetes; Kitasatosporales; Streptomycetaceae
Description: bacterial SSU rRNA
Rfam family: Bacterial small subunit ribosomal RNA
Source: RNAcentral
CCCGGGUCUGCAUUCGAUACGGGCUAGCUAGAGUGUGGUAGGGGAGAUCGGAAUUCCUGGUGUAGCGGUGAAAUGCGCAGAUAUCAGGAGGAACACCGGUGGCGAAGGCGGAUCUCUGGGCCAUUACUGACGCUGAGGAGCGAAAGCGUGGGGAGCGAACAGGAUUAGAUACCCUGGUAGUCCACGCCGUAAACGGUGGGAACUAGGUGUUGGCGACAUUCCACGUCGUCGGUGCCGCAGCUAACGCAUUAAGUUCCCCGCCUGGGGAGUACGGCCGCAAGGCUAAAACUCAAAGGAAUUGACGGGGGCCCGCACAAGCAGCGGAGCAUGUGGCUUAAUUCGACGCAACGCGAAGAACCUUACCAAGGCUUGACAUACGCCGGAAAGCAUCAGAGAUGGUGCCCCCCUUGUGGUCGGUGUACAGGUGGUGCAUGGCUGUCGUCAGCUCGUGUCGUGAUAUGUUGGGUUAAAUCCCGCAACGAGCGCAACCCUUGUCCUGUGUUGCCAGCAUGCCCUUCUGGGUGA